GAUGAACGCUGGCGGCGUGCCUAAUACAUGCAAGUCGAGCGAACAGACGAGGAUCUUGCUCCUCUGACGUUAGCGGCGGGCGUGUGAGUAACACGUGUAUAACCUACCUAUAAUACUGGUAUAACUUCGGAAAACCGGCUCUAAUCCGGUAUGAUCUAUUGAACCGCAUGGUUCAUUGGUAAAUUACGGUUUUUCUGUCACUUAUAGAUGGAUCCGCGCGGGAUUAGCUAGUUGUUAAGGUAACGGCUUACCAAGGCGACCAUGCGUAGCCGAACUGAGAGGGUGAUAGGCGACACGGGAAGUGAGACACGGUCAAGAGUCCUACGGGAGGCAGCAGUAGGGAACCUUCGGCAAUGGGCGAAAGCAUGACGGAGCAACGCGGAGUGAGUGAUGAAGGUCUUCGGAGCGUAAAAAUGUGUUACUAGGGAAGAACAAAUGUGUAAGUAAAUAUGGACGUCUUGACGGUAAUUAAUAAGAAAGCAACGGCUAACUACGUG
Molecule: ribosomal RNA, 497 nt
Filed under: uncultured bacterium
Lineage: Bacteria
Description: partial 16S ribosomal RNA
Rfam family: Bacterial small subunit ribosomal RNA
Source: RNAcentral